GACAGACAUUUAAUCAGUGACAUACACUCUGUAGACGGGACAGAGACAACCGGCUUUUACAAUGAUCUCUCCUGGUUAUUCGGUUGUUUUUCUCAUACUGUCAAUCAACUGGGCAGGUUCUGAGGGUCAAACUCUAACUGAGUCUGAAGCAGUGGUUAAAAGGCCUGGAGAAUCCCACAGACUGACCUACACAUAUUCAGGCUUCAGUAGCCAUCACUGGAACGCUUGGAUCAGACAGGCUGCUGGAAAAGGACUGGAGUGGGUCGCUACUAUCAGUGAUACCAGUAGCAGCAUCUACUACUCCCAGUCAGUUCAGGGCCGGUUCCUCAUCUCCAGAGACAACAGCAGACGCCAGGUGUAUCUGCAGAUGAACAGCCUGACGACUGAAGACUCUGCUGUUUAUUACUGUGCUCGAGAGCCACAGUGAUACAGGAAGCCACAGAGCCGUACACAAACCACCACAGAUGUCACUGCACCAGUCACUAUAGAUAUACACCGAUCAGCCAUAACAUUAUGACCACCUGACUAAUAUUCAGUAGGUCCCCCUUUUGCUGCCAAACCAGCCCUGACCCGUGG
This is a non-coding RNA of Sebastes umbrosus (honeycomb rockfish), 576 nucleotides long. NCBI's taxonomy places the organism in Eukaryota, Metazoa, Chordata, Actinopteri, Perciformes, Sebastidae. The record is from the annotation of a RefSeq genome assembly.